Molecule: ribosomal RNA, 253 nt
Filed under: uncultured bacterium
Lineage: Bacteria
Description: partial 16S ribosomal RNA
Rfam family: Bacterial small subunit ribosomal RNA
Source: RNAcentral
UACGAAGGGGGCUAGCGUUGUUCGGAAUUACUGGGCGUAAAGCGCACGUAGGCGGACUAUUAAGUCAGGGGUGAAAUCCCGGGGCUCAACCCCGGAACUGCCUUCGAUACUGGUAGUCUCGAGUCCGGAAGAGGUGAGUGGAAUUCCGAGUGUAGAGGUGAAAUUCGUAGAUAUUCGGAGGAACACCAGUGGCGAAGGCGGCUCACUGGUCCGGUACUGACGCUGAGGUGCGAAAGCGUGGGGAGCAAACAGG